UGGUGGAGUGAUUUGUCUGGUUAAUUCCGUUAACGAACGAGACCUCGACCUGCUAAAUAGUUUAGCGAAUCCUUCUGGAUUCGAUUGCAACUUCUUAGAGGGACUAUCGGUGUGUAGCCGAUGGAAGUUCGAGGCAAUAACA
Molecule: ribosomal RNA, 142 nt
Filed under: uncultured eukaryote
Lineage: Eukaryota
Description: partial 18S ribosomal RNA
Rfam family: Eukaryotic small subunit ribosomal RNA
Source: RNAcentral